GGGCGGUUAGCUCAGUGGGAGAGCGCCUGCCUUACAAGCAGGAAGUCACUGGUUCAAUCCCGGUACCGCCCA
This 72-nucleotide transfer RNA is filed under the name Candidatus Dadabacteria bacterium. RNAcentral's name for it is "tRNA-Val". It matches the Rfam family "tRNA". From Rfam's summary of the family: Transfer RNA (tRNA) molecules are approximately 80 nucleotides in length. The record is from RNAcentral. Lineage: Bacteria; Pseudomonadati; Thermodesulfobacteriota; Candidatus Dadabacteria.